This 434-nucleotide ribosomal RNA is filed under the name uncultured archaeon. RNAcentral describes it as "bacterial SSU rRNA". It matches the Rfam family "Archaeal small subunit ribosomal RNA", at positions 19 to 458 of the family's 1478-position model. The record is from RNAcentral.
GGACCUGACUGCUAUCGGAUUGAUACUAAGCCAUGCGAGUCAUUGUAGCAAUACAAGGCAGACGGCUCAGUAACGUGUAGUCAACCUACCCUAUGGACGGGAAUAACCUCGGGAAACUGAGUAUAAUGCCCGAUAGAACAUUAUGCCUGGAAUGGUUUAUGUUCCAAAUGAUUUAUCGCCGUAGGAUGGGACUGCGGCCUAUCAGUUUGUUGGUGAGGUAAUGGCCCACCAAGACUAUUACAGGUACGGGCUCUGAGAGGAGUGGCCCGGAGAUGGGUACUGAGACACGGACCCAGGCCCUAUGGGGCGCAGCAGGCGAGAAAACUUUGCAAUGUGCGAAAGCACGACAAGGUUAAUCCGAGUGGUUUCUGCUAAAGGAACCUUUUGUCAGUCCUAGAAACACUGAUGAAUAAGGGGUGGGCAAGUUCUGGUGU